AGGGAGAGCGUCUCGGAUCAUUGACAACUAAAUAGGAGCAGCAACGUCCAAUUAAAGGGCCCUGAUCACGAAACACAGUAAUAAAAUGAAUCUGGAGAGUUUGAUCCUGGCUCAGAACGAACGCUGGCGGCGUGCCUAACACAUGCAAGUCCAACGUGAAAGGGGAGCAAUCCCCCGGUAGGGUGGCAAACGGGUGAGUAAUACAUGGGUGAUCUACCUUAGGGAUGGGGAUAUCCUUCCGAAAGGAGGGGCAAUACCGAAUAUUGUCCGGAGCCGUGAAGGGUUCCGGGGAAAGGGAGGCCUCUGAUACAAGCUUUCGCC
This 321-nucleotide ribosomal RNA is filed under the name uncultured bacterium. Its description in RNAcentral is "partial 16S ribosomal RNA". The stretch from base 89 to 321 matches the Rfam family "Bacterial small subunit ribosomal RNA", at positions 1 to 219 of the family's 1533-position model. The record is from RNAcentral.